GCAGUCGAGCGGGGAAGGUUGCUUCGGUAACUGACCUAGCGGCGGACGGGUGAGUAAUGCUUAGGAAUCUGCCUAUUAGUGGGGGACAACAUCUCGAAAGGGAUGCUAAUACCGCAUACGUCCUACGGGAGAAAGCAGGGGACCUUCGGGCCUUGCGCUAAUAGAUGAGCCUAAGUCGGAUUAGCUAGUUGGUGGGGUAAAGGCCUACCAAGGCGACGAUCUGUAGCGGGUCUGAGAGGAUGAUCCGCCACACUGGGACUGAGACACGGCCCAGACUCCUACGGGAGGCAGCAGUGGGGAAUAUUGGACAAUGGGGGGAACCCUGAUCCAGCCAUGCCGCGUGUGUGAAGAAGGCCUUUUGGUUGUAAAGCACUUUAAGCGAGGAGGAGGCUACUGGUAUUAAUACUACCGGAUAGUGGACGUUACUCGCAGAAUAAGCACCGGCUAACUCUGUGCCAGCAGCCGCGGUAAUACAGAGGGUGCGAGCGUUAAUCGGAUUUACUGGGCGUAAAGCGUGCGUAGGCGGCUUUUUAAGUCGGAUGUGAAAUCCCUGAGCUUAACUUAGGAAUUGCAUUCGAUACUGGGAGGCUAGAGUAUGGGAGAGGAUGGUAGAAUUCCAGGUGUAGCGGUGAAAUGCGUAGAGAUCUGGAGGAAUACCGAUGGCGAAGGCAGCCAUCUGGCCUAAUACUGACGCUGAGGUACGAAAGCAUGGGGAGCAAACAGGAUUAGAUACCCUGGUAGUCCAUGCCGUAAACGAUGUCUACUAGCCGUUGGGGCCUUUGAGCUUUAGUGGCGCAGCUAACGCGAUAAGUAGACCGCCUGGGGAGUACGGUCGCAAGACUAAAACUCAAAUGAAUUGACGGGGGCCCGCACAAGCGGUGGAGCAUGUGGUUUAAUUCGAUGCAACGCGAAGAACCUUACCUGGUCUU
RNAcentral lists this ribosomal RNA (929 nucleotides) under uncultured bacterium. RNAcentral's name for it is "bacterial SSU rRNA". It matches the Rfam family "Bacterial small subunit ribosomal RNA", at positions 57 to 982 of the family's 1533-position model. The record is from RNAcentral.